Molecule: ribosomal RNA, 253 nt
Filed under: uncultured bacterium
Lineage: Bacteria
Description: partial 16S ribosomal RNA
Rfam family: Bacterial small subunit ribosomal RNA
Source: RNAcentral
UACGUAGGGUGCGAGCGUUAAUCGGAAUUACUGGGAGUAAAGGGUGCGCAGGCGGUUCUGCAAGUCCGGCGUGAAAUCCCCGGGCUUAACCUGGGAAUGGCGCUUGAAACUACGGGACUGGAGGAUGGCAGAGGGAGGUGGAAUUCCACGUGUAGCGGUGAAAUGCGUAGAGAUGUGGAGGAACACCGAUGGCGAAGGCAGCCUCCUGGGCCAAUACUGACGCUCAUGCACGAAAGCGUGGGGAGCAAACAGG